Molecule: unclassified non-coding RNA, 336 nt
Filed under: uncultured Agaricomycetes
Lineage: Eukaryota; Fungi; Basidiomycota; Agaricomycetes
Description: sequence contains ITS2
Source: RNAcentral
AACGCACCUUGCGCUCCUUGGUAUUCCGAGGAGCACGCCUGUUCGAGUGUCGUGAAGUUCUCAAGCUAGAUGGCUUUAUUGUCAUCUUAGUUUGGAUUUGGACUCUUGCCAUUGCCAUUUAGUUGGUAGCGGCUGGUCUUAAAUGUAUUAGCUGGCUCUUGUUGUGGGAUUUGGUUCUACUCAGCGUGAUAAUUACUCAUGACCGUUGAGGACAUCUUCUUUCGGGAGGGUGGCCAGAACUCAUCUAGAGUUGCUUCUAAUCCUCCGAAGCUUUCGGGCUGACGAACUUUUCAACCUUUUGACCUCGAAUCAGGCGGGACUACCCGCUGAACUUAA